UAUAUGUGGCUGUUGAAGCAGAGGAAUUGGUCAUAAGUGGGAUAAAAUUUGCUGCAUUUAGUGGCAGUUGAGCACCAGACUUCAGGAGACCUAAUCAGGGGGAGUCCAGAGAAAAAGAGAAAGCUUUAGAAAUUAUGGCCUACAGGAGAAGAUUGAGGCAAUUGUGACUUUUGAGGAGAAAAGCAACAAGGGAAACAUGAUAGUCCAAUCUUCCAAAAUUCUAUUGCUGAUGAGAAGUUUCUUCUCCAUGCCAGGGCAAAAAGUUAGUUGGCAAGGGAAAUUUAGUCUAAUAAUGAGGCUAAAUUAGGCUUAGCCUAAGAUUUCCAAUGGUUUGAAAUAGGUGUUGGGAUAGACUGACCGAAGAGGUGAUAUAAUCUCAGUCACUGGAGGUUUUAAUCCUUAUCACUGGAUAUUUUUAAGACCAAGGGAUACAUAUGCAAGAGGAAUUCAGCAGAGGUGCAGGGUUUGUAACCCUUCUUCAGUGCUUUCAUGUGUCUCAUUCUGCAACUAAUACGUACACAUACAAAAUCUGUUCAACACGAUGUAUUCAUCAAUCUCUGGCUUCUGAGCUGUUUGUCAUUCGGAACAGGCCACUCUCUCCCGGGUGACUGGAGCACUCCUUGAUCCCCCAACUGAAACGAUUAUGGCCAAAGAUAAUUAAACUAACAAAAGGCAAACAGCGAAUAGCAAAUAAGGAGUAUCGACCCUGACUGAGCAGCAGCAGGAAAUCCAGGCCCUAAACACUGAGGUCACCACGUGAGAGAUGCUUCAGGAACAGCAGAAGCGAGGAGUUCUUGUCCUGAUGAAUUUUGAGUUGAUGACUCCACCAAACUCUCCAGAAGAAAGAGAAACACAAAGGUUUAGUGGCUGAUAUGAGAACCUGGAGUGGGUUAUUGGUAAAAUGAGCCCCUCCCUGUACUACUUUAAAUCAAUCAAGGCUGGGUUGCAAUCUCCAGGUCCUGGGAAUGCGAGGAAUUAAAACCAGUUCCAGCAGUUUAACAUCCUGCUUCAGGAUAACCUCUGAUAUUCUGAACUGGGCCAUUUUUCUCAUGAAAACACCUUUCUCAGCUCGAAGAAUUAUGUAGCACUUGCCCUCAAAGCCUUGGUAAUUGCUGCAGGUAACCCCUUGGAUAACUCAGCGCUCCGUUUGCACCACUCCUAAAUGUCCCUCUUGAAGUAAUUUAGGGAAGGGAGGUCACCCCACCAACACAGGGACAUUUAUCUAACACAGAGGUAGCUCUGCAUUUUAUAUCACACCUCGUUUUUUUGUCCUUACGUUGGACAAAGGACAUAGGAAAAUUACAACCUUUUUAGAGUUAAUAAGUGUAGGUGGCUCUGAGUAGAAGAUGUUUCACUAAAUUCUGAAAGCUCCUCUGUGUCACAUGUUUUAACCUCUAAAUAUUUGAAUUAUCUGCCCGAAAUCAUUAACUUCCAGUGGAAGACACCUCCAAAUGCCAGCAGAGACAGAAUCAUUCCUACCACUGGCGAAGAGAGGAUGCAAAUGGCUCCUUUAAAUAUAUUCAACUUUUUUUCCUAAAUUCUCUGGGCCAUCAAUAACCCAGUUUCUUUUCCUGUGUGUUGC
This is a long non-coding RNA of Corapipo altera (White-ruffed manakin), 1582 nucleotides long. RefSeq lists it as uncharacterized. The transcript is spliced from 3 exons. The record is from RefSeq and is a predicted model, not a curated record. Lineage: Eukaryota; Metazoa; Chordata; Aves; Passeriformes; Pipridae.